This 254-nucleotide ribosomal RNA is filed under the name uncultured prokaryote. Its description in RNAcentral is "partial 16S ribosomal RNA". It matches the Rfam family "Bacterial small subunit ribosomal RNA", at positions 524 to 776 of the family's 1533-position model. The record is from RNAcentral.
UACGGAAGAUCCAAGCGUUAUCCGGAAUUACUGGGCGUAAAGAGUUGCGUAGGUGGCAGAGUAAGCAAGCAGUGAAAUGAUGCGGCUCAACCGCAUGUCCAUUGUUUGAACUGCUCAGCUAGAGCACGAGAGAGGUAACUGGAAUUCCUAGUGUAGGAGUGAAAUCCGUAGAUAUUAGGAGGAACACCGAUGGCGUAGGCAGGUUACUGGCUCGUUGCUGACACUAAGGCACGAAAGCGUGGGGAGCGAACGGG